This 497-nucleotide ribosomal RNA is filed under the name uncultured bacterium. RNAcentral's name for it is "partial 16S ribosomal RNA". It matches the Rfam family "Bacterial small subunit ribosomal RNA", at positions 28 to 507 of the family's 1533-position model. The record is from RNAcentral.
GAUGAACGCUGGCGGCGUGCCUAAUACAUGCAAGUCGAGCGAACAGACGAGGAGCUUGCUCCUCUGACGUUAGCGGCGGACGGGUGAGUAACACGUGGAUAACCUACCUAUAAGACUGGGAUAACUUCGGGAAACCGGAGCUAAUACCGGAUAAUAUAUUGAACCGCAUGGUUCAAUAGUGAAAGACGGUUUUGCUGUCACUUAUAGCUGGAUCCGCGCCGCAUUAGCUAGUUGGUAAGGUAACGGCUUACCAAGGGGACGAUGCGUAGCCGACCUGAGAGAGUGAUCGGCCACACGGGAGCUUGGCCGCGGUCCAUGCGCCUACGGUAGGCAGCAGAAGGGAAUCGUCGGCGAUGGUCGAAAGCCUUACGGAGCGACGCCGCGUGAGUGAUGAAGGUCUUCGGAUCGGAAAACUCUGUUAUUAGUGAAGAACAAAUGUGUACGGAACUAUGCACUGCGUGACGGUACCGAAUCAGAAAGCCACGGCUAACUACGUG